ACCCUAAUGAAACUUUUAUAUAAAGAAAGCUCUCAAAGGGUCAUAGGCUUAAUGUCCCUUCAUCCUUUUUACAGGAAGAAAAAUGACUAAAACUUGAAGUCAGACUCUGGCAUGCUUGAAUACCAUAUGCCUGCACUAUUGAGAGACUGGAGCAGAGUAUCUGGAGAAAGAUGAGAGAGUGUGGGUGGCAAUAGAAAAAACAACCACCACUAUAAUUUCUGGAAAUUAUUUCAGCUGAAUGAAUGCAGUGAAGACAUCUCAUGGGAAUAGGAGAGGUCUUGCAGACAAUACCCGACUGACUCUUCAGGCAAAAAAAGCAAGACACACCAAGAAAAUAGAAAUAUGACCCUAAAAAUCCCACCUGGGAUGCCUUAGAAUGGAUGUGAAAGUCCAGGCAAAUGAAGACUGCUCAAGCACUAGUUGCUUUAUAAACCUAAGAGGGUGAGAGGGAAAAGAUGGGCAGAAAAUAUCAAAGGC
This 477-nucleotide long non-coding RNA is filed under the name Lepidothrix coronata (blue-crowned manakin). RNAcentral's name for it is "lncRNA (ENSLCOG00000009595.1)". The record is from RNAcentral. Lineage: Eukaryota; Metazoa; Chordata; Aves; Passeriformes; Pipridae.